ACACCGGUGGUGAAGUGGAAUCACACUUACAAUCAUGGCGUCUUGGACCUCAUUGAUGCUAAGAGGCAAGGGUUCGAAUCCCUUCCAGUGUA
Pluteus cervinus is the source of this 92-nucleotide non-coding RNA. Lineage: Eukaryota; Fungi; Basidiomycota; Agaricomycetes; Agaricales; Pluteaceae. The record is from the annotation of a GenBank genome assembly.